UCAUCAUGCGCCGGAACAAAGAUCCGGCGCCCAUGGAGAAGCAGUCCGUCAGCGAAGCGCCAGGGCUCCUCCAGGUCUCCGGCCGUGAGUUGCUGCUGGAGAAGAACGGCGUCGUCGGCUGUUGCAGUUGCGCGGCGAAUGUCGGCGAAGAGGCCGAACGUCGGCCCGGAGCGGACGCACAGGGACGCCCCAGCGGACUCGUCGGUGGAAGGAGCGAGAUCGGAGUC
This 227-nucleotide long non-coding RNA is filed under the name Hordeum vulgare. RNAcentral describes it as "long non-coding RNA (HVUL_LNC018561)". Lineage: Eukaryota; Viridiplantae; Streptophyta; Magnoliopsida; Poales; Poaceae. The record is from RNAcentral.